UGCUAGAUCAUGCAAUAAAUUUGAUGUGAUCGGGUUUAUUCUCUAUUUUUUUUCAUGGAAUGGAUGGUUGAUUUUGAUUGUACUUUUCAUCAUAAAGUAUGAGGCUUGAAUUAAUAAGUGAAAUGUGUUAAAUUUGCUUGAUUUAAAUUGAUGUCAUAUGCAUAAGGAAUAUUUGUUUAAACUCGUUUAGUCACAAAAUUGUUUAAUGUGUGAAUAUAUAUAAUGAGAAUUAAGGUUGCUACAUUAAAAAAAAAUAAAAAAAAAAGAGUUUUGUUUUGCUAUUUUGACUUAGUUGAGUAACCAGGGGUCUUCAUGCACCCCAUGUUGACACUCAGGCCAAAAAUUAAGCAGAAUAUGAGCAGUGCUAGUAGCCACCUAGGGUUGUGUUGAAUUGAGUAACCAGGGGUAGCCACCAUAAACUGGUCUAUCUUUGUGUCAAAAGGUCUAUGACACUCUGGGCAAGUCUAAAAGUGUUGAAUAACUUAAAAGCACUUCAAUUUCCUAUCGCUGGGUAAAAUUGUGUGAAAUUUGUGACUUGACAGGUUAGCGGAUGAUUCUUUAUGCAUUGACUUAAGCUAUUUUGGAACUAAAUUGUGUGGAUAUUUUGAAAAUGCUUAAGCCUUGUGUUUUAUACUGAUAAGAACUCUUAAAAUCGAUUAUUUAUUAUAUAAGAAUUGAGAAUUACUAAUUAUGUUAUGUUUAUUGUGUCUUUUAGUGUUUUGCAUCAAGAAUGGAUUAGGAGACCUAUGUGACUGGAUGUUAGUUGUUAUUGAUUGAUAGAUUUGGGUUAUGCUUGAGGACAAGCAUUCGAUUAGUGUAGAGGAAUUUGAUAAUGUGCAUAAUUGGUGAUAAUGAAUGAUUGCAAAAGUGAGAUUUUGGAUGCUUUUCAUGAAUAUUUGAACUGUUGGCUAGAAUUUUGGAUGUUAAGGGCCAAUUUCCAGAAUUUAUCCAUUGAGCCAUGCCCACGGCUUAGGUUGUGCAGAUACAAAGCAGAGGCAGAGUCAAUUGCAUGACUGAAGAUUUUAUUUUAAUUGACUUCAAGCCUAAUUUUGGGAGGAUUGUAUUUUAAAUAGGACUUUUGAUUGGGGAAAUUAGGAAGAAUAAGUUUUAUGCCUACUUUUUCUCUCUUUUCCAAAGUUAGUUAGAAUUCUCCCUUUAUUAGGACUUCUUAUGUUUUAUAUAAGGAAAAAAAUGCAGGUUUUAGGAGAGCAAAAAAUUACAGAAUUCCUUUUAUUUCUCUUUUGCUCAUUUUUAAACCAUGUGUGGCUAAUUCUUCUUUGAUUUAAUAAAGGUUAAUUAAAGUCAAGGUUCAUUCAA
Hevea brasiliensis (rubber tree) is the source of this 1317-nucleotide long non-coding RNA. RefSeq lists it as uncharacterized. The transcript has 2 exons. Lineage: Eukaryota; Viridiplantae; Streptophyta; Magnoliopsida; Malpighiales; Euphorbiaceae. The record is from RefSeq and is a predicted model, not a curated record.